RNAcentral lists this unclassified non-coding RNA (138 nucleotides) under uncultured fungus. Its description in RNAcentral is "sequence contains ITS1". Lineage: Eukaryota; Fungi. The record is from RNAcentral.
UUGUGUAUUUAGUCUCACUCAGACAACGUGUUCAGGUAGUAGAUUGGCCGAAACGACCAAGCAAGAGGUAAAUUGGCAAGGGUUGGAGUUCCCGAAGGAAUUCUUGUAAUGAUCCUUCCGCAGGUUCACCUACGGAAA